UACGUAGGGUGCAAGCGUUGUCCGGAAUUAUUGGGCGUAAAGAGCUCGUAGGCGGUUUGUCGCGUCUGCUGUGAAAACCCGAGGCUCAACCUCGGGCCUGCAGUAGGUACGGGCAGACUAGAGUGCGGUAGGGGAGAUUGGAAUUCCUGGUGUAGCGGUGGAAUGCGCAGAUAUCAGGAGGAACACCAAUGGCGAAGGCAGAUCUCUGGGCCGUAACUGACGCUGAGGAGCGAAAGCAUGGGGAGCGAACAGG
Molecule: ribosomal RNA, 253 nt
Filed under: uncultured bacterium
Lineage: Bacteria
Description: partial 16S ribosomal RNA
Rfam family: Bacterial small subunit ribosomal RNA
Source: RNAcentral